RNAcentral lists this ribosomal RNA (253 nucleotides) under uncultured bacterium. RNAcentral describes it as "partial 16S ribosomal RNA". It matches the Rfam family "Bacterial small subunit ribosomal RNA", at positions 524 to 776 of the family's 1533-position model. The record is from RNAcentral.
CACGGGGGGAGCAAGCGUUGUUCGGAUUCAUUGGGCGUAAAGGGCUCGUAGGUGGCUUUGUAAGUCGGAGGUGAAAUCCCACGGCUCAACCGUGGACACGCCUUCGAAACUGUGAAGCUUGAGUCCGGAAGAGGCGAGUGGAAUUCCUGGUGUAGCGGUGAAAUGCGCAGAUAUCAGGAGGAACACCAAUGGCGAAGGCAGCUCGCUGGGACGUGACUGACGCUGAGACGCGAAAGCGUGGGGAGCAAACAGG